RNAcentral lists this non-coding RNA (755 nucleotides) under Pongo abelii (Sumatran orangutan). The record is from RNAcentral. Lineage: Eukaryota; Metazoa; Chordata; Mammalia; Primates; Hominidae.
GGAGAGGGAAGCGCUCGUGCCCACCUUGCUCGCAGGUGCCCUUGCUGACCUGGGUGAUGGCCUUCUCCCCGCGGCUCUCGGCCCUCUGGCUGGCGGCGCGCAGCUGGCAGCCGCUCGGAUCAGUGUGGAAAUAGAUGUGGACGCUGUGCUGCUGCCUGAGAUUAGCAGGAAGCAAUUCUUUUCCCAUUUGGAGAGACCCCGGCUUUGUCGGGCCAGGAGAUGGUUUUGCAGCAGCAGAAGACUAUGAACUGGGCUUUGGGAGAUAGGAUCUCUGGUUGUAUUCUGGCUAUCCACACUCUGAAAGAGGACCAUGACAGAGAAUUUGAGUAUCCUACCAAUAUACCUACAAAAGGAUGAAAGAAGAUUUGGAGUCAAGGGAAAACAAGGGCAAUAAAAUAGAUGCUUACCACCUACUCUCAUACAGUUGCUAGAAGAGGACUGCACAUUUGGUUCUAAGUUUCUGGAAGAUAAAGCAAAAAUAGAAACACAACUCAUUAUAAAAUUUUGGUGCAUCCAUAAAAUAAAAACAAAUGACCUAUUUUGAGAAAACUCUUUCUGAGUUUGAGCUCUAAAAGGAACUUCUCUAUGGAAUCCUUAGAAUAUGAGAAGGCUGUGAUAUAGGGGAGAAACCCCUUGACAUUCCUAUAUUGGGUUUAGAUCUAAUUUCACUCAGUAUUUCUAAAAUGUUACUCCUUAUAGAUGGAUGAUGAGAUGCCAAAGUACAGCUGAGUGAAAGCGGUUCCUUUGAAAACUAA